Molecule: long non-coding RNA, 309 nt
Filed under: Nicotiana benthamiana
Lineage: Eukaryota; Viridiplantae; Streptophyta; Magnoliopsida; Solanales; Solanaceae
Description: long non-coding RNA (NBEN_LNC016025)
Source: RNAcentral
GCAAAUUAAUUGAAAGGAAAAAAAUAUAUUAUACAAUGCUAUAAACGAAGAAGAAUUUGAGAAAAUAUCAAGUUGUGACAUAGCUAAAGAAAUGUGGGAUAAACUUGAAUUUACCUAUUAAGGUACAAGUAAAGUAAAAGACACAAGGAUAACUCGUCUGAUUAGUGAUUAUGAGUAGUUUCAAAUGAAAGAAGAUGAAACCAUUGAAGACAUGUUUGGCCGAUUUAGCAAAAUACUGGAGAUCUAAAAUCCUUUGGAAGACCAUAUUCAAGAACUGAAUAAACCAAAAAGAUUCUAAGAAGUUUACCC